Non-coding RNA from Cordylochernes scorpioides, 72 nucleotides. Lineage: Eukaryota; Metazoa; Arthropoda; Arachnida; Pseudoscorpiones; Chernetidae. The record is from the annotation of a GenBank genome assembly.
AGGUUCCACUGAGAUUUCAACUCAAAUCGCUGGAUUCAGAGCCCAGAAUGCCGACCACUACACCAUGGAACC